AGACCCGAAACCCGGUGAUCUAGCCAUGGGCAGGUUGAAGGUUGGGUAACACUAACUGGAGGACCGAACCGACUAAUGUUGAAAAAUUAGCGGAUGACCUGUGGCUGGGGGUGAAAGGCCAAUCAAACCGGGAGAUAGCUGGUUCUCCCCGAAAGCUAUUUAGGUAGCGCCUCGUGAAUUCAUCUCCGGGGGUAGAGCACUGUUUCGGCUAGGGGGCCAUCCCGGCUUACCAACCCGAUGCAAACUGCGAAUACCGGAGAAUGUUAUCACGGGAGACACACGGCGGGUGCUAACGUCCGUCGUGAAGAGGGAAACAACCCAGACCGCCAGCUAAGGUCCCAAAGUCAUGGUUAAGUGGGAAACGAUGUGGGAAGGCCCAGACAGCCAGGAUGUUGGCUUAGAAGCAGCCAUCAUUUAAAGAAAGCGUAAUAGCUCACUGGUCGAGUCGGCCUGCGCGGAAGAUGUAACGGGGCUAAACCAUGCACCGAAGCUGCGGCAGCGACACUCAGGUGUUGUUGGGUAGGGGAGCGUUCUGUAAGCCUGCGAAGGUGGCCUGUGAGGGUUGCUGGAGGUAUCAGAAGUGCGAAUGCUGACAUAAGUAACGAUAAAGCGGGUGAAAAGCCCGCUCGCCGGAAGACCAAGGGUUCCUGUCCAACGUUAAUCGGGGCAGGGUGAGUCGACCCCUAAGGCGAGGCCGAAAGGCGUAGUCGAUGGGAAACGGGUUAAUAUUCCCGUACUUGGUGUUACUGCGAAGGGGGGACGGAGAAGGCUAUGUUGGCCGGGCGACGGUUGUCCCGGUUUAAGCGUGUAGGUGUGUGUUCCAGGUAAAUCCGGUUCACUUUAACACUGAGGCGUGAUGACGAGGCACUACGGUGCUGAAGCAACAAAUGCCCUGCUUCCAGGAAAAGCCUCUAAGCAUCAGGUAACAUCAAAUCGUACCCCAAACCGACACAGGUGGUCAGGUAGAGAAUACCAAGGCGCUUGAGAGAACUCGGGUGAAGGAACUAGGCAAAAUGGUGCCGUAACUUCGGGAGAAGGCACGCUGACACGUAGGUGAAGUGAUUUACUCAUGGAGCUGAAGUCAGUCGAAGAUACCAGCUGGCUGCAACUGUUUAUUAAAAACACAGCACUGUGCAAACACGAAAGUGGACGUAUACGGUGUGACGCCUGCCCGGUGCCGGAAGGUUAAUUGAUGGGGUCAGCGCAAGCGAAGCUCCUGAUCGAAGCCCCGGUAAACGGCGGCCGUAACUAUAACGGUCCUAAGGUAGCGAAAUUCCUUGUCGGGUAAGUUCCGACCUGCACGAAUGGCGUAAUGAUGGCCAGGCUGUCUCCACCCGAGACUCAGUGAAAUUGAACUCGCUGUGAAGAUGCAGUGUACCCGCGGCAAGACGGAAAGACCCCGUGAACCUUUACUAUAGCUUGACACUGAACAUUGAGCCUUGAUGUGUAGGAUAGGUGGGAGGCUUUGAAGUGUGGACGCCAGUCUGCAUGGAGCCGGCCUUGAAAUACCACCCUUUAAUGUUUGAUGUUCUAACGUGGACCCGUGAUCCGGGUUGCGGACAGUGUCUGGUGGGUAGUUUGACUGGGGCGGUCUCCUCCUAAAGAGUAACGGAGGAGCACGAAGGUUGGCUAAUCCUGGUCGGACAUCAGGAGGUUAGUGCAAUGGCAUAAGCCAGCUUGACUGCGAGCGUGACGGCGCGAGCAGGUGCGAAAGCAGGUCAUAGUGAUCCGGUGGUUCUGAAUGGAAGGGCCAUCGCUCAACGGAUAAAAGGUACUCCGGGGAUAACAGGCUGAUACCGCCCAAGAGUUCAUAUCGACGGCGGUGUUUGGCACCUCGAUGUCGGCUCAUCACAUCCUGGGGCUGAAGUAGGUCCCAAGGGUAUGGCUGUUCGCCAUUUAAAGUGGUACGCGAGCUGGGUUUAGAACGUCGUGAGACAGUUCGGUCCCUAUCUGCCGUGGGCGCUGGAGAACUGAGGGGGGCUGCUCCUAGUACGAGAGGACCGGAGUGGACGCAUCACUGGUGUUCGGGUUGUCAUGCCAAUGGCACUGCCCGGUAGCUAAAUGCGGAAGAGAUAAGUGCUGAAAGCAUCUAAGCACGAAACUUGCCCCGA
RNAcentral lists this ribosomal RNA (2111 nucleotides) under Salmonella enterica. RNAcentral describes it as "partial 23S ribosomal RNA". It matches the Rfam family "Bacterial large subunit ribosomal RNA", at positions 711 to 2802 of the family's 2925-position model. The record is from RNAcentral. RNAcentral also lists the same sequence under 2 other names. Lineage: Bacteria; Pseudomonadati; Pseudomonadota; Gammaproteobacteria; Enterobacterales; Enterobacteriaceae.